This 443-nucleotide ribosomal RNA is filed under the name uncultured bacterium. RNAcentral describes it as "partial 16S ribosomal RNA". It matches the Rfam family "Bacterial small subunit ribosomal RNA", at positions 338 to 795 of the family's 1533-position model. The record is from RNAcentral.
CCUACGGGAGGCAGCAGUGGGGAAUAUUGGGCAAUGGGCGCAAGCCUGACCCAGCAACGCCGCGUGAAGGAAGAAGGCUUUCGGGUUGUAAACUUCUUUUCUCAGGGACGAAGCAAGUGACGGUACCUGAGGAAUAAGCCACGGCUAACUACGUGCCAGCAGCCGCGGUAAUACGUAGGUGGCAAGCGUUAUCCGGAUUUACUGGGUGUAAAGGGCGUGUAGGCGGGGACGCAAGUCAGAUGUGAAAACCACGGGCUCAACCUGUGGCCUGCAUUUGAAACUGUGUUUCUUGAGUACUGGAGAGGCAGACAGAAUUCCUGGUGUAGCGGUGAAAUGCGUAGAUAUUAGGAGGAACACCAGUGGCGAAGGCGGAUUACUGGACGAUGACUGACGGUGAGGCGCGAAAGCGUGGGGAGCAAACAGGAUUAGAUACCCGGGUAGUC